Molecule: ribosomal RNA, 114 nt
Filed under: Ochotona princeps (American pika)
Lineage: Eukaryota; Metazoa; Chordata; Mammalia; Lagomorpha; Ochotonidae
Source: RNAcentral
GUCUACGGCCAUACCACCCUGAAUGCGCCCGAUCUCAUCUGAUCUCGGAAGCUAAGCAGGGUCGGGCCAGGUUAGUACUUGGAUGGGAGAGUAGUAUCAUGUAUCCAGUAGAGU